RNAcentral lists this transfer RNA (73 nucleotides) under Candidatus Zixiibacteriota bacterium. Its description in RNAcentral is "tRNA-Asn". It matches the Rfam family "tRNA". From Rfam's summary of the family: Transfer RNA (tRNA) molecules are approximately 80 nucleotides in length. Their secondary structure includes four short double-helical elements and three loops (D, anti-codon, and T loops). Further hydrogen bonds mediate the characteristic L-shaped molecular structure. tRNAs have two regions of fundamental functional importance: the anti-codon, which is responsible for specific mRNA codon recognition, and the 3' end, to which the tRNAs corresponding amino acid is attached (by aminoacyl-tRNA synthetases). tRNAs cope with the degeneracy of the genetic code in two manners: having more than one tRNA (with a specific anti-codon) for a particular amino acid; and 'wobble' base-pairing, i.e. permitting non-standard base-pairing at the 3rd anti-codon position. The record is from RNAcentral. Lineage: Bacteria; Pseudomonadati; Candidatus Zixiibacteriota.
UCCGGUGUAGCUCAGUUGGUAGAGCAGCUGACUGUUAAUCAGCGGGUCACAGGUUCAAGUCCUGUCACCGGAG